GACGAACGCUGGCGGCGUGCUUAACACAUGCAAGUCGAGCGGUAAGGCCCUUUCGGGGGUACACGAGCGGCGAACGGGUGAGUAACACGUGGGUGACCUGCCCUCAGCUCUGGGAUAAGCCUGGGAAACCGGGUCUAAUACCGGAUAUGACUCCAUGACGCAUGUUGUGGGGUGGAAAGCCUUGUGCGGCUGAGGAUGGGCCCGCGGCCUAUCAGCUUGUUGGUGGGGUGAUGGCCUACCAAGGCGACGACGGGUAGCCGGCCUGAGAGGGCGACCGGCCACACUGGGACUGAGACACGGCCCAGACUCCUACGGGAGGCAGCAGUGGGGAAUCUUGCGCAAUGGGCGAAAGCCUGACGCAGCGACG
RNAcentral lists this ribosomal RNA (367 nucleotides) under uncultured bacterium. Its description in RNAcentral is "bacterial SSU rRNA". It matches the Rfam family "Bacterial small subunit ribosomal RNA", at positions 28 to 396 of the family's 1533-position model. The record is from RNAcentral.